CCAUAGCCCCGAUUGCAACGGCAUCCUUUUUUGCUUUUUUACAAAUCGUGUUUCGAAAACCAAAUGUGAUGAAAGCAAAAAAGAUAUAGUGGAAAGCGGGAUUAAGC
RNAcentral lists this small RNA (107 nucleotides) under Chryseobacterium sp. FH1. Its description in RNAcentral is "Flavo-1 RNA". It matches the Rfam family "Flavo-1 RNA". The record is from Rfam by way of RNAcentral. Lineage: Bacteria; Pseudomonadati; Bacteroidota; Flavobacteriia; Flavobacteriales; Weeksellaceae.